AUGUGCCCUUUACGAAUACUUAGUUAUUUAUAACGGACACCAUGUGCCCGUUACGAAUACUUGGUCAAGCUGAUAAGGAAAGCCCAUUAGGGUUUCAAACUUUCACUCCCCUUAGCCGUCAAACCCCCUUCCACUCAUCCUGUCUCUCUUCUCCUCUCUCCUCCUCAUUCAUUCUCUCUUUCUUCUCGUCACUCAAACUGAAGCAGUAAUUCACCACCCUUCUCAAAAUCUUCUUCUUCUCUAACUCUCCCACUAAAAACCCCAAUUCCCAAAUUUCCCCUCUUUCUCUCUCCUCCGAAUUGCAUCAAUGGCAGGCGAUGGACCCAAUUUGGAAUGUCGGAUGUUCAAGUCUCGUUACCUAGAAAUGGACAUGGCGAUGAUGUCAUGAUGAUGAUUCAGGUGAAGAAAUCGCUGAUAUGUGUGGGAUUUUGGAUCUCAGUCACUAGUGGAAGGUUAUUCUAAGGACUGGAUUGGUUAAUAUUGAUAAUGAAGAAUUGAAGGUCGUAGAAAUGAUGGUUUCAUUAAUGGUUUUGGGGUUUUUUCAAUCUUUCUCAGUGGACCCAGAGAAGAUGCAACCAGAAUUGGUUCUCCUGGUGUUGUUAGGCGUCAAGCUGUUGAUAUCUCUCCACUAAGGCGUGUUAAUCUGGAAAUCUAUCUUCUUACUAUUGGAGCUCGUGAGAGUGCUUUCAUGAACAUCAAGACCAUUUUCGAGGGCCUUGGUGAUGAACUCAUCAAUGCCGCCAAGGGUUCAUCCAACAAUCAGUUUGGACAGAAAUCAUGAAUCGUUGCUAAAAAGGAUGGAAGAUAUGGCUGUACAAAAUUUGUUAAGCAAGCUUCAUCAAGACAGCAUAAAAUUCUAUCUUUCAAGUUCUUAGUCUACUAAGGAAUAUAAGCUUAUUUAAAUUUUCAUGUUGUAUUACGGAGUAUUAUUUAUGCAGUAGACUUUUGACUCAUGUUAGCGAGUUGUUGUAAAGUCAAUUUGGACAUUUGUGAAAGUUGUAUUAUUGAUUUUAUAAUUAAAUAUUGAUAAUUUGUUUUUUGAAAUCAA
Molecule: long non-coding RNA, 1048 nt
Organism: Chenopodium quinoa (quinoa)
Lineage: Eukaryota; Viridiplantae; Streptophyta; Magnoliopsida; Caryophyllales; Amaranthaceae
Exons: 4
Source: RefSeq, a predicted model, not a curated record